UACACGUGGGUAACCUGCCUGUAAGACUGGGAUAACUCCGGGAAACCGGGGCUAAUACCGGAUGCUUGAUUGAACCGCAUGGUUCAAUCAUAAAAGGUGGCUUUUAGCUACCACUUACAGAUGGACCCGCGGCGCAUUAGCUAGUUGGUGAGGUAACGGCUCACCAAGGCGACGAUGCGUAGCCGACCUGAGAGGGUGAUCGGCCACACUGGGACUGAGACACGGCCCAUACUCCUACGGGAGGCAGCAGUAGGGAAUCUUCCGCAAUGGACGAAAGUCUGACGGAGCAACGCCGCGUGAGUGAUGAAGGUUUUCGGAUCGUAAAACUCUGUUGUUAGGGAAGAACAAGUACCGUUCGAAUAGGGCGGCACCUUGACGGUACCUAACCAGAAAGCCACGGCUAACUACGUGCCAGCAGCCGCGGUAAUACGUAGGUGGCAAGCGUUGUCCGGAAUUAUUGGGCGUAAAGCGCGCGCAGGCGGUUUCUUAAGUCUGAUGUGAAAGCCCCCGGCUCAACCGGGGAGGGUCAUUGGAAACUGGGGAACUUGAGUGCAGAAGAGGAGAGUGGAAUUCCACGUGUAGCGGUGAAAUGCGUAGAGAUGUGGAGGAACACCAGUGGCGAAGGCGACUCUCUGGUCUGUAACUGACGCUGAGGCGCGAAAGCGUGGGGAGCGAACAGGAUUAGAUACCCUGGUAGUCCACGCCGUAAACGAUGAGUGCUAAGUGUUAGAGGGUUUCCGCCCUUUAGUGCUGCAGCAAACGCAUUAAGCACUCCGCCUGGGGAGUACGGUCGCAAGACUGAAACUCAAAGGAAUUGACGGGGGCCCGCACAAGCGGUGGAGCAUGUGGUUUAAUUCGAAGCAACGCGAAGAACCUUACCAGGUCUUGACAUCCUCUGACAACCCUAGAGAUAGGGCUUCCCCUUCGGGGGCAGAGUGACAGGUGGUGCAUGGUUGUCGUCAGCUCGUGUCGUGAGAUGUUGGGUUAAGUCCCGCAACGAGCGCAACCCUUGAUCUUAGUUGCCAGCAUUCAGUUGGGCACUCUAAGGUGACUGCCGGUGACAAACCGGAGGAAGGUGGGGAUGACGUCAAAUCAUCAUGCCCCUUAUGACCUGGGCUACACACGUGCUACAAUGGGCAGAACAAAGGGCAGCGAAGCCGCGAGGCUAAGCCAAUCCCACAAAUCUGUUCUCAGUUCGGAUCGCAGUCUGCAACUCGACUGCGUGAAGCUGGAAUCGCU
This 1239-nucleotide ribosomal RNA is filed under the name Bacillus aerius. Its description in RNAcentral is "bacterial SSU rRNA". It matches the Rfam family "Bacterial small subunit ribosomal RNA", at positions 112 to 1336 of the family's 1533-position model. The record is from RNAcentral. Lineage: Bacteria; Bacillati; Bacillota; Bacilli; Caryophanales; Bacillaceae.